GGGUUGCUGACGUACACAGGUUGUAUGAAUAGAGGCCUGAAAUGACAACUGGUGGAUCAGAGCUGAGGACUGCCCAGGGGCACAGGCAGAGCUGGAAGCAGGCUCUCCCAAGCUUCCCUGAGCAGGGUCUGGCAGCACAGAGCAAGACCAGAACAUAGCCCUGUGCCAUAGGCAGGUACCAGUGCAAGCCCAGUGAGGCCUGGUGCUUCUUGGACCAGCUGCAAACCACCCACACAUUAUCAGAAACAGGUGAACUCAUUAGACUUUCUGAUUUAAGCUUUUCCUCUGUAUUUUCUAAGAUAGAAAUACUUUGCAAUGGAGCAAGGCCUCCUUCCUUUCCUUCUCCAGGGCACAACCUGUUCUCCAGUUGUUAUAUGACCUCUUGUGAGGAAUUAUCAAGAUGAAAUAAAGCAUCCAAACCAUUCA
RNAcentral lists this long non-coding RNA (426 nucleotides) under Phasianus colchicus (ring-necked pheasant). RNAcentral describes it as "lncRNA (ENSPCLG00000016967.1)". The record is from RNAcentral. Lineage: Eukaryota; Metazoa; Chordata; Aves; Galliformes; Phasianidae.